RNAcentral lists this ribosomal RNA (253 nucleotides) under uncultured bacterium. RNAcentral's name for it is "partial 16S ribosomal RNA". It matches the Rfam family "Bacterial small subunit ribosomal RNA", at positions 524 to 776 of the family's 1533-position model. The record is from RNAcentral.
GACAGAGGGGGCAAGCGUUGCUCGGAAUUACUGGGCGUAAAGGGCGCGUAGGCGGGAUGGCAAGUCGGUCGUGAAAUCCCUGGGCUCAACUCAGGGGGGUCGGCCGAUACUGCCAUUCUUGAGGGAUGCAGAGGAGACUGGAAUUCCCGGUGUAGCGGUGAAAUGUGUAGAGAUCGGGAGGAACACCGGUGGCGAAGGCGGGUCUCUGGGCAUUCCCUGACGCUGAGGCGCGAAAGCGUGGGGAGCAAACGGG